Molecule: ribosomal RNA, 117 nt
Filed under: Tupaia belangeri (northern tree shrew)
Lineage: Eukaryota; Metazoa; Chordata; Mammalia; Scandentia; Tupaiidae
Source: RNAcentral
GUCUACGGCCAUACCACCCUGAACGCGCCCGAUCUCGUCUGAUCUCGGAAGCUAAGCAGGGUCGGGCCUGGUUAGUACUUGGAUGGGAGAAACAUUCAAACAUCCAGAUCCAAGAAA